GACAGAGGGGGCAAGCGUUGCUCGGAAUCACUGGGCGUAAAGGGCGCGUAGGCGGGAUGGCAAGUCAGUCGUGAAAUCUCUCGGCUCAACCGAGAAACGUCGGCUGAUACUGCCGUUCUUGAGGGAUGCAGAGGAGACUGGAAUUCCCGGUGUAGCGGUGAAAUGUGUAGAGAUCGGGAGGAACACCGGUGGCGAAGGCGGGUCUCUGGGUUGACACUGACGCUCAAGCACGAAAGCGUGGGGAGCAAACAGG
This 253-nucleotide ribosomal RNA is filed under the name uncultured bacterium. RNAcentral's name for it is "partial 16S ribosomal RNA". It matches the Rfam family "Bacterial small subunit ribosomal RNA", at positions 524 to 776 of the family's 1533-position model. The record is from RNAcentral.